CCUACGGGUUGCACCAGUGGGGAAUAUUGGACAAUGGGCGAAAGCCUGAUCCAGCAAUGCCGCUUGUAAAGCUCUUUCGUCGAGUGCGCGAUCAUGACGGUACCCGUAGAAGAAGCCCCGGCUAACUUCGUGCCAGCAGCCGCGGUAAUACGAAGGGGGCUAGCGUUGCUCGGAAUGACUGGGCGUAAAGGGCGCGUAGGCGGUUUAUGCAGUCAGAUGUGUAAUCCCCGGGCUUAACCUGGGAACUGCAUUUGAGACGCAUAGACUAGAGGUCGAGAGAGGGUUGUGGAAUUCCCAGUGUAGAGGUGAAAUUCGUAGAUAUUGGGAAGAACACCGGUGGCGAAGGCGGCAACCUGGCUCGAUACUGACGCUGAGGCGCGAAAGCGUGGGGAGCAAACAGGAUUAGAUACCCGUGUAGUC
RNAcentral lists this ribosomal RNA (420 nucleotides) under uncultured bacterium. Its description in RNAcentral is "bacterial SSU rRNA". It matches the Rfam family "Bacterial small subunit ribosomal RNA", at positions 338 to 795 of the family's 1533-position model. The record is from RNAcentral.